UCUGACAGAAACGGCAGCAGCUUCAGGGUUAAAAAAAGAUAGAAAGGUAGGAAACAGCAGCUUCAGGAGUAAAAAAGAUAGAAAUAUAGGAAACAGUCCACAAUCUGACAGAAACGGCAGCUUCAGGGUUAAAAAAAGAUAGAAAGAUAGGAAACAGUCCACAAUCUGACAGAAACAGCAACUUCAGGAGUAAAAAAGAUAGAAAGGUAGGAAACAGUCCACAAUCUGACAGAAACGGCAGCUUCAGG
Long non-coding RNA from Limulus polyphemus (Atlantic horseshoe crab), 248 nucleotides. RefSeq lists it as uncharacterized. The transcript has 2 exons. NCBI's taxonomy places the organism in Eukaryota, Metazoa, Arthropoda, Merostomata, Xiphosura, Limulidae. The record is from RefSeq and is a predicted model, not a curated record.